GGCGGCUGAUCCGGCGUGUCCGGGUGAGCUGGGACUGGAGAGCAGGGGAGGAGGCUUUGGCAGGGAGUCCUUCCUCCUGCAGCUGGUGGUCAGCAGGGCCCAGGGGCGUGGAGGAGUUUGGCCAGAGCCGCCCUGAUGUCCCGGUUGCGCAGGCAGUAGAUGACGGGGUUGAGCAGCGGGGUCAUCACGAGAUAAAGGUGAGUAGACCACGACCCACUCCCCGCUUGUUGUUGACGUCGAUGGAGUUGGCGGCGAUUGAGUAACCGGGCGUACGAGAUGAAGUGGUGAGUGCUGUAGAAGACCCGGCCACCCACAGCACGGCCGGGGGAGUGGCGCAGGUGGAGAAGGCUCUCCGGCGUCUGGCCCACCCCGGGAUCCUCAGCACGGUGGCCAGGAUGUGCACGUAGGACACCGUGGUCACCAGCAGGGAGGUGGCGAGCACAGCCAGGGCUGCCACGAAGUCCAGAACUUCCACGGCAGUGGUGUCAGAGCACGAGAGCUGCAGCAGGGGUGAGACGUCGCAGAAGAAGUGGUUGAGGACGUUGGGGCCACAGAACCUGAGGCGUGAGAUGAGAGCCACGGACACGAACGAGGCCAGGAAGCCGCCCAGCCAGGCGCCCAGGGCCAGCCACAGGCAGAGCCCCCGGUUCAUGGUGGCCGGGUAGCGCAGCGGGCGACAGAUGGCCAGGUACCGGUCACAGGCCAUGGUGGUCAGGAGGAAGCACUCGGAGGAGCCGAGCGAGAGGAAGAGAAACAGCUGCGUGAGGCACCCUGCGAAGGAGAUGGUCCUCGCCCGCGCCAGGAGGCCCGCCAGCAGCUUGGGGACGGUGACCGAGAUGUAGAGGGUCUCCAGCACUGACAGGUUGGCCAGGAAGAAGUACAUGGGCGUGUGCAGUUGGCGGCUGGCUCGGAUGGUCACCACGAUGACCAGGUUCUCCAGGACGGUCACCAGGCGGGAGGUUCAGUCUGCGUCUGGCUUCCGUGCUGGCGGCAGGCGGGACCCCAAGUCCAGUCACCCCGUCCGCAACCUGCUGCGGCCCCUGAGCUCCUCCCUUUGCAGAGACCAGCAGUCCUGGCUCAGGCCCUGGUCGCGCAGCUGCCGUCCAGCCCGGCCCCACUGCUCCCGGGGUCACUCCCCCGCACUGCCCCUGCCCGGCAUCCGGAAACAGCUAUUAAAGACUAACGUGACAGCACCCAGAUAAUCAUAUUACGGGUCGUGUUUAACCCCGUCACUGCGGUGGAGGCGGCCCUGACGCGAGCUCGCUCCGUGCAGCUGGAGGCCGCCUCACACGUAUAUCCUCAAAAUGGAUGUAGUCUAUGUGUUGCAGUAGCUUCCCUCAGUUUUUAACGUAUUUUUUUACUUUCUUUAAGGUGUCUUUUAUUUUAUUUUAUUUUAUUUUUUUAAAGAUUUAAUUUAUUCAUGAGAGACACAGAAGAGAGAAGAGAGAG
RNAcentral lists this long non-coding RNA (1449 nucleotides) under Canis lupus familiaris (dog). RNAcentral describes it as "lncRNA (ENSCAFG00845027035.1)". Lineage: Eukaryota; Metazoa; Chordata; Mammalia; Carnivora; Canidae. The record is from RNAcentral.